GGAUGUGAGGGCGACAUCUGUCACCCCAUUGAUCUCCAGGGUUGAUUCAGCUCAUCUGGCUGGCUAAGCGGCUGUCCCCUUCCUCCCUCACUGCUCCGUGUGUGUCCCUCCCGCAGCCAUGUGCUCAGUUGGAGAGGACGGCCUUCCCCGAAUAGACGAACGGGUCUUCAAGUAGCUGCGCUCCCCUGCUGGAACCUCCAAACCAGCUCUCAAGAAAUUAAGGGGUCUUGGGGCUGGAGUGAUAGCACAGCGGGUA
This 256-nucleotide small nuclear RNA is filed under the name Sorex araneus (European shrew). RNAcentral describes it as "7SK RNA (ENSSARG00000018242.1)". It matches the Rfam family "7SK RNA", at positions 1 to 278 of the family's 331-position model. From Rfam's summary of the family: 7SK was discovered as an abundant small nuclear RNA in the mid-70s but a possible function has only recently been suggested. Two independent studies have found that 7SK RNA binds the CDK9/cyclin T complex (known as elongation factor P-TEFb). Lineage: Eukaryota; Metazoa; Chordata; Mammalia; Eulipotyphla; Soricidae. The record is from RNAcentral.